UAAUUUUGAACGAGUGGCGGACGGGUGAGUAACACGUGGGUAACCUGCCCUUAAGUGGGGGAUAACAUUUGGAAACAGAUGCUAAUACCGCAUAAAUCCAAGAACCGCAUGGUUCUUGGCUGAAAGAUGGCGUAAGCUAUCGCUUUUGGAUGGACCCGCGGCGUAUUAGCUAGUUGGUGAGGUAACGGCUCACCAAGGCAAUGAUACGUAGCCGAACUGAGAGGUUGAUCGGCCACAUUGGGACUGAGACACGGCCCAAACUCCUACGGGAGGCAGCAGUAGGGAAUCUUCCACAAUGGACGCAAGUCUGAUGGAGCAACGCCGCGUGAGUGAAGAAGGCUUUCGGGUCGUAAAACUCUGUUGUUGGAGAAGAAUGGUCGGCAGAGUAACUGUUGUCGGCGUGACGGUAUCCAACCAGAAAGCCACGGCUAACUACGUGCCAGCAGCCGCGGUAAUACGUAGGUGGCAAGCGUUAUCCGGAUUUAUUGGGCGUAAAGCGAGCGCAGGCGGUUUUUUAAGUCUGAUGUGAAAGCCCUCGGCUUAACCGAGGAAGUGCAUCGGAAACUGGGAAACUUGAGUGCAGAAGGGGACAGUGGAACUCCAUGUGUAGCGGUGAAAUGCGUAGAUAUAUGGAAGA
RNAcentral lists this ribosomal RNA (637 nucleotides) under uncultured Bacilli bacterium. RNAcentral describes it as "bacterial SSU rRNA". It matches the Rfam family "Bacterial small subunit ribosomal RNA", at positions 82 to 705 of the family's 1533-position model. The record is from RNAcentral. Lineage: Bacteria; Bacillati; Bacillota; Bacilli.